RNAcentral lists this ribosomal RNA (358 nucleotides) under Spongilla lacustris. RNAcentral's name for it is "eukaryotic LSU rRNA". It matches the Rfam family "Eukaryotic large subunit ribosomal RNA", at positions 23 to 424 of the family's 3401-position model. Lineage: Eukaryota; Metazoa; Porifera; Demospongiae; Spongillida; Spongillidae. The record is from RNAcentral.
ACCCGCUGAAUUUAAGCAUAUCAAUAAGCGGAGGAAAAGAAACCAACAGGGAUUCCCCCAGUAACGGCGAGCGAAGGGGGAAUAGCUCGAGCCUUAAAUCUCCGGGCACCGGCGAAUUAGUAGCGCAGAGAGGCACCUACGGUCGGCCAAAGUUGACCUGGAAUGGCGCGUCAGAGAGGGUGAGAACCCCGGAGAGUCAGGUUGUUUGGGAAUGCAGCCCAAAGUGGGUGGUAAACUCCACCUAAAGCUAAAUAUUAAGCACGAGACCGAUNGCAAACAAGUACCGUGAGGGAAAGGUUGAAAAGUACUUUGAAAAGAGAGUCAAAGAGAACGCGAAACCGUUAGGAGGGAAACGCAU